GACGAACGCUGGCGGCGUGCUUAACACAUGCAAGUCGAACGGUAAGGCCCUUCGGGGUACACGAGUGGCGAACGGGUGAGUAACACGUGGGUGAUCUGCCCUGCACUUCGGGAUAAGCCUGGGAAACUGGGUCUAAUACCGGAUAGGACUCCUGCCUGCAUGGGUGGGGGUGGAAAGCUUUUGCGGUGUGGGAUGGGCCCGCGGCCUCUCAGCCUGUUGGUGGGGUGAUGGCCUACCAAGGCGACGACGGGUAGCCGGCCUGAGAGGGUGACCGGCGACACUGGGACUGAGAUACAGCCCAGACUCCUACGGGAGGCAGCAGUGGGGAAUAUUGCACAAUGGGCGCAAGCCUGAUGCAGCGACGCCGCGUGAGGGAUGACGGCCUUCGGGUUGUAAACCUCUUUCAGCACAGACGAAGCGCAAGUGACGGUAUGUGCAGAAGAAGGACCGGCCAACUACGUGCCAGCCGCCGCCGUAA
Molecule: ribosomal RNA, 478 nt
Filed under: uncultured bacterium
Lineage: Bacteria
Description: partial 16S ribosomal RNA
Rfam family: Bacterial small subunit ribosomal RNA
Source: RNAcentral